This 458-nucleotide ribosomal RNA is filed under the name uncultured bacterium. RNAcentral's name for it is "partial 16S ribosomal RNA". It matches the Rfam family "Bacterial small subunit ribosomal RNA", at positions 338 to 795 of the family's 1533-position model. The record is from RNAcentral.
CCUACGGGUGGCAGCAGUGAGGAAUAUUGGUCAAUGGGCGAGAGCCUGAACCAGCCAAGUCGCGUGAGGGAGUACUGCCCUAUGGGUUGUAAACCUCUUUUGUCGGGGAGCAAAAGCCGGACGUGUCCGGCUGUGAGAGUACCCGAAGAAAAAGCAUCGGCUAACUCCGUGCCAGCAGCCGCGGUAAUACGGAGGAUGCGAGCGUUAUCCGGAUUUAUUGGGUUUAAAGGGUGAGCAGGCGGAUUUUUAAGUCAGCGGUAAAAUCGUGGGGCUCAACCCCAUCCAGCCGUUGAAACUGGGGAUCUAGAGUGUGCGAGAGGGAUGCGGAAUGCGUGGUGUAGCGGUGAAAUGCAGAGAUAUCACGCAGAACCCCGAUUGCGAAGGCAGCAUACCGGUGCACAACUGACGCUCAGGCACGAAAGCGUGGGUAUCGAACAGGAUUAGAUACCCCUGUAGUC